AGUCUCGUAGCUUAGCUGGUAGAGCGUGCGCUGUACAAAGGCGUGUGCGGCAUCCAUACGUAGGUUCGAAUCCCACCGAAGCUG
Molecule: transfer RNA, 84 nt
Filed under: Echinostoma caproni
Lineage: Eukaryota; Metazoa; Platyhelminthes; Trematoda; Plagiorchiida; Echinostomatidae
Rfam family: tRNA
About the family: Transfer RNA (tRNA) molecules are approximately 80 nucleotides in length. Their secondary structure includes four short double-helical elements and three loops (D, anti-codon, and T loops). Further hydrogen bonds mediate the characteristic L-shaped molecular structure. tRNAs have two regions of fundamental functional importance: the anti-codon, which is responsible for specific mRNA codon recognition, and the 3' end, to which the tRNAs corresponding amino acid is attached (by aminoacyl-tRNA synthetases). tRNAs cope with the degeneracy of the genetic code in two manners: having more than one tRNA (with a specific anti-codon) for a particular amino acid; and 'wobble' base-pairing, i.e. permitting non-standard base-pairing at the 3rd anti-codon position.
Source: Rfam by way of RNAcentral